Molecule: long non-coding RNA, 19181 nt
Filed under: Arachis ipaensis
Lineage: Eukaryota; Viridiplantae; Streptophyta; Magnoliopsida; Fabales; Fabaceae
Description: long non-coding RNA (AIPA_LNC000005)
Source: RNAcentral
GGUGCGGAAGGUCCUCUCCUCUACUUUCAAGUGGCCUUACCGAGAGAUGAAUUCUCAGAUGCAGAAAUUGUUUGAAGAAUUAGAGCACUUUGCAGAGAGAGCAGACAACCUUCGACUGGAAAAAGAUGCUUCUGUCAAUGUUUCGCGUGCAACACCUACAACUGCUGCUUUUGAUGAUUCUGCUAUUUGUGGAAGAGCUGAUGAAAAACAGAAUCUUGAAGAGUAUUUGCUGUCAGAAGAUGCCGUUGAUGAUGGUGGAAAUAGAAUAGGAGUGCUUGCCAUUGUUGGCAUGGGAGGACUUGGAAAAACAACUCUUGCUGCACUCCUAUACAAUGAUUCUCAAGUUAAAGAUAAGUUUGAUGUGAAAGCAUGGGCAUCUGUUUCCAAAGAUUUUGAUGUUGUCAAGCUGGCAAAAUCUCUUCUUGAAUCUGUCACGUCUGCAGCACCAAAUUUGGAUAACUUCGAUACCUUGCGAGCAGAAUUGCAAAAUAACUUGUCGGGUAAAAAGUUUCUGCUUGUGCUGGAUGAUAUAUGGAAUGCAGGGUAUGUUGAUUGGACCAACUUAAUGCCCAUUUUUAAUGUUGGGAAAACGGGAAGCAAAAUCAUUGUCACAACACGACAUGAAAAUGUUGUGGAUGCUGUAAGACCUACGAAGACCUGCUUUCUCAAACCACUGGCCGAUGAAGAUUGUUGGACUUUGCUUUACAAACAUGCACUUCCAGCACACAGAUGCACUGAACUGUCAUCCAACCUUGAAGAUAUUGGUAGAAAAAUUGCCAAAAAGUGUGGUGGCUUGCCAUUAGCUGCAGUUGCUUUGGGGGGUCUUCUUGGCACAAAGGUAUCAAGCGAGCACUGGACUAAAGUCUUAAACAGCAACAUUUGGAAUCUUACAGUGAAAGACGUGCAGCCAGCUCUUCUUUUGAGCUAUCAUUUCCUUCCAGCUUCUUUGAAACAAUGCUUUGCUUAUUGUGCAAUUUUCCCAAAGAACUCGAUGCUGCGAAAAGAGAAGUUAGUUCAACUAUGGAUGGCUCAAGGCUUUGUUACUGUGCCCCAAGAUAAGAAAAGCAUUGAAGAAGUAGGAGAUGAAUAUUUUGAUGAACUAGUGGCAAGGUCAUUGAUACGACGUUCUGUGGAAGGGCAACACUUUGAAAUGCAUGACCUCAUCAACGAUUUGGCAACCAUGGUUUCUUCUCCAUAUUUUAAGAGGUGCGAGGAUCAAAAGGCCGUUGAAAAUCUAAACAAAAUUCGUCAUUUAUCUUAUGAUAAAACUAUGUUUAACCAUUUUGACGAACUUCAUUCCCUUCAUGGAUUGAAAGGCUUACGUACACUCAUAGCAUUACCAUUUUAUGCUCCGUACCAGCGCCAUUACCUAGCGAACGGGGUAUUGCAUGAGUUGCUAGCAUUGAAACAGUUGCGGGUGUUAUCCCUGUCACACUACUUGAAUAUCACUGUUUUGCCAAAUUCUAUUGGCGAUUUAAAGCACUUGCGAUACCUAGAUCUAUCUUGCAGUGGAAUUGAAAGGUUGCCUCCUGCAAUAUGCAAGCUCUACAAUCUACAGACCUUGUUGUUAUCUUAUUGUGUUGCUCUUACUGAGUUGCCUGAGGAGAUGGGAAAAUUGGUGAAUCUACGCCACCUUGCUAUUGAUUAUUGUUGGGCUCUUACUAAGUUGCCUGAGGAGAUGGGAAAAUUGGUGAAUCUACGGCGCCUUGAUAUUCAUGGUACUGAAUUGCAGGAGAUGCCCGUAGAGAUAGCCAAACUAGAAAAUCUGCAAACUCUGAGUGGUUUUAUUGUCAGCAAACAACAACAUGGACUUAAGCUUGCAGAAAUGAGAAAAUUUCCUCAUUUACAAGGUAAACUCUGCAUCUCAAAACUAGAAAAUGUUAUUGAUCCGUCUGAUGCUUGUCAAGCCAAUUUGAAGGAGAAAAAGCAAAUUGAGGAGUUAUCAUUGGAAUGGAGUGAUUCCAUUUUGGAAGACUCUCAUCAAGUUGUACUUGAACAUCUGCAGCCCUCAACAAAUUUGAAGAAAUUGACCGUUAAAGGCUAUGGUGGAACUUGUUUCCCAAAUUGGUUGGGUGAUUCCUCGUUUGGCAACAUAGUGAGUUUGAGGAUUAAAAAUUGUGAUCAUUGUUCUUCAUUGCCACCUCUUGGACAACUACAUAGUCUAAAAGAACUCUUCAUUUCGGAUAUGAGAUCAGUGAAGAGUAUUGGGUCUGAAUUUUACGGAGGUAAUACCCCUUCAUUCCAACCGUUUCCCUCGUUGGAGACUUUGAGUUUUGAGUGGAUGGCAGAGUGGGAGGAAUGGAACAUGAUAGAUGGUAUAACUACUGAGUUCCCCCGUCUAUCACACUUAUCUCUGGGUUUCUGUCCGAAGCUGAAAGGAACUUUACCCAGCAAUCUUCCUUGCUUGGUUACACUUGAUGUACGGGAUGGUAGUGAGUUUUCAGGAGAAGUGGAUAACAGACACAUAAUGAGACCAUUGAAUCUAUUCAAUUUUAACUCUCUUCAACAAUUAACUCUCUUUCAAAUUCGUUCUCUGACGUCCUUCCCGAGCAAUGGUCUGCCCAAAGCGCUAAAGACACUUUCUAUCCAAUGUUGUCAGAGCCUUGAAUUCCCAAGUCAUGAGUUCCUUCAUAGUUGCAAGGCACUUGAGGAAUUGGUGAUAUCGAGUAGCUGUUGCUCGCUGACGUCAUUUCCCUUAGGUUCUCUCCCUGUGCUCAAGCGUCUUGUACUCAGGCGAUGUGAAAAUUUGAAAUCAAUUUCAAUUUUGGAAGAAGAAGCAGCAGGCCAAUCUCUCAUGUUUCUUGAACAUCUCGAAGUAGAUGAGUGUCCUGAACUGGAGUCGAUUUCCCUACUCGAUUUGUGCACUCCUAACCUGAGUUAUUUUUGCGUAGGAAAAUGCGACAAGAUGAAUUCAUUACCAGAACCAAUUAAUAAUCUCAGUGGCCUCCAAUCAUUAUAUAUUUGUGAUGUUCCGAAUUUGGAAUCUAUUGCAAAAGAGGGUUUGCCUAUCAAUUUAAGGACACUUGGUGUCGGCAAUGAAGAAGGGGUUUAUUGCAAUACAGAUAUCACCAAGUGGGGCUUGGACCGACUCACUUCUCUUUCAUAUUUGAAAAUUAAAGGUGAGUAUCUGGUUAAGAAGCUGAUGGAAAUACAAGUGCCUCUGUUGCCCAAUUCUCUUGAGUUUCUGAGAAUAGAAGGUGCACGUGAAAUACAACAUUUGGAUGGCAAGUGGCUUCAGCAUCUCACCUCUCUCAAAACUCUUGGGUUGUAUAAAUGUGACAAGCUCAAGUCACUGCCAAAAGAAGGGCUGCCUUCCUCAAUUUCAAGUCUAUACAUUUCGAGUUGCCCAAUGUUAAAAGCAAAUUAUGAGAGAAAGAAAGGGAAAGANNNNNNNNNNNNNNNNNNNNNNNNNNNNNNNNNNNNNNNNNNNNNNNNNNNNNNNNNNNNNNNNNNNNNNNNNNNNNNNNNNNNNNNNNNNNNNNNNNNNNNNNNNNNNNNNNNNNNNNNNNNNNNNNNNNNNNNNNNNNNNNNNNNNNNNAUUGCCACUCUGCGAGACUGUACUGAAUUGCUAGUUUAGUUUGUCUUCAUGAAGAGACUCUUCUAUACUUUGUGUAACGUUUUCUUUUUCCAAGCAUAAUAAUUGAAAGCUAUUUUGACUUAAUCUGUAGACACCAUAAGUAUAAGAAUUUUCAAAUUCAAAUAUUUUUUAUCAUAUCAACAACAAAAGUGUUUAAUUCUUUUCACAAAAAAAAAAAAAGUGUUUAACUCAGCUAUUCACCCUUUUAAUAAUUUUAAAAGCACAAACAUCCGAUUGAAUAACAAUAUUUUUAAAUUCCUUUAACUAAAUUGGCUAGAUCUUGAGAAUACUCAAAUGAAAACUUUUGUGAAUGAAUCUUUCUAAUGCAUCUGGUACAAAUCUAAAACUAUUUGGCAACUGAAAAUAAAUAAAUUUCUUUGGGGACAUCCGAAGAGAUUAAAUGGCUACUUUUGUGAACUUGGCAACAAAAAAUCCACUAGUUUGAGAUGUUAAGGGGUCAAAUCGCCAUGUUUUUGGUAUUCCACCACUUUUGCAAGGCCAAUUUCGGGCACCAUCUAUCUCUGCCAACUCUGCAUAAUAAUUUUAAACAUCAGAAAAGAAAAAACCUCAACAAUAUGUAUGUCGUAUAAUAACUAUUUUGAAAGAUAUGAAAACAAAUAAAUACAUUAUACAUAGCAUAAGUGAACAACCACCACCAACUCCAAGCACUGCCCUUUGGGGUUGGUUUAAUUGGGACGACAAUAUAGUAUAGUAUCAUAAACCAUGUUUAUAACACUAGACCAAAAAAAUAAAAAGCAUGGUAAAGCUGCUAAAAAUAUCAUAUUAGAUUAUUAGUAAUAUAUGGUUGACGCUUCAUACAUAGAGGCAUGAGAAUCCUACCAGCAUUUACAUUUUCCUUCAAGAAAUGUUCCACCACAUCUUCAUUCUGAGCCAAUGUUAAGCUAAUAAACAAAGAAGGUAUUUGUGAGAAUAAAUCACAUGAUAAUGUGUGUUCCUGUGCACGUUUUUUUUACUUCAUUCGAAAUACCAAAGAAUUUAAAAAUUUAAAGGUACCUGCAAGUGCUGUAAACAAGUGAGCCUCCAACUUUUAGUAGUCUGAAACCAUUAUGGAGAAGACUCAACUGCGGAAAGGAACGAAAAGUAUGUUAGUUUUAAAAGUAAUAUAUGUUAGUCACCAUGUGUAAAAUCCCAUGUUAUCUCUAUUACAUUCUUUAUGAAGCCUGGAAAUGUUAAAAGAGUUAGCUUGUAAGCUUAAGCUCGGUGCUUGAUCAUUUAGGAUCAGAUAUUCAAGUGAAGGAGCCUCAGUUCAGCAAUGAUAAGUUCCACCGUGAUUAACUUAAUAGAGCAUAGAGGGUUAUCAAUCAUGAUAUAAUCUGUCAUAACUAGUGAGAAAAGAUGCAUUAUGGAUCAAGGGAAUAAGGAUGAAUCAUUUGCCUGCAGAACAUGCAAGUUAUCAGUCCUCUCUGCAUCUAGUACUCGAUGUUGAAAAGUCCCCCAGCCCCAAUUUUCAAACUUGUGAAUAUGUUUAACUGAACCGUCAUGAGUACACUCUGCAUCCACAAGGACCUACACCAAAUCCAACAUAUUAUCAUGGUAGAAUAAAGCAAAUAACUAAGAAACAUUAACUCGAAUGAAAUACCAGUUACCUUGUCAUAUCCAUGACUUCCCAGCUCAACACCAGAUGCAGUCUUAUAUAGCUCUCCUUUAGCAAGACCAAUUACUCCCGAAUGGCGACCAUAAUAUAUGAGCUCAGGAGGCUGAGACUUGUAUAAAAAAGAUAGAUAUGGCUGAGACCAUAAUAUAUGAAAAUCCAAGAACAAGAAGAUAGAUAUCAAUAAGGAGUAUAAAAAAAGAUCAGGUGUUCAAAAAAUAAAUAUGCAUCAUAUAUAUUAAAGAUGAUUGGUAAUAUAAUAUAUGGUUGAUGCUUCAGACAUAACUUUUCUGCUGCAAAAAAAAAUAAAAAUAAAAAUAGAAGCAUGAGAAUCUUACCAGCAGAUAAAUUUUUCUUUAAGAAAUGUUACACCACAUUUUCAUUCUGAGCCAGAGUCAAGCUAUUCAAGAAAUAAUGUCUUUGUGAGAAUAAAUCACAAGUUAUAGUGUGUGUUUUUGUGAUUUAGUUUUCACAAGAAGCUUAAAAAUGGUAAGGUAGCUGCAAGUGCUGUAAGCAAGUGUCUCUGCACCUUUCAGUAGUUUAAAACAAUUAGUUAGAAGAUGAUUCGACCGUAGCAAUUUAAAGAAUUUGCGACAUCUCCAUCUAUCUUUCACUAGAAUUAAAACGCUACCUUGUGCAAUAUGCAAGCUCUACAAUCUACAGUAUCUUUGAAGUUUGAACAAUAAUUUACUGGGAAUUGAAAUUUCAAAUAUAACUUUUUUUUCUUCUCUUCAAAAGUUUGAAUCUUCCUGAGUAUUGAUGAUUAAAAUAUAAAAAAUGUUUGUUUUAAUUUGUGGCAUGUUACGAAUUUAAUUUUUUCAAUAAAAAAAUAGUAACUCUUUUCGCUCUUUCCCAAGAUGUAUUUUUUAGAAAAGAAAAAAAAACUUUUUUCGCUNNNNNNNNNNNNNNNNNNNNNNNNNNNNNNNNNNNNNNNNNNNNNNNNNNNNNNNNNNNNNNNNNNNNNNNNNNNNNNNGAAAUUCUCAUUUCUCAACCUCAACAUGAAGGUAUAUCUUCAUUCGGUCCCAUUCUAAUUUCUAAAACAUAAUUCCACCAAAAAAAGUCCAUAUAAAAAACUUUUGGCCACAAAUUUAAACUGAAUGUUUUUUGUUAUCUAGCACUACCGCCGUCCAAAAUAGACUUCCACUUCAUGAUUUGCAGGCCAAAGAGAAAUCGAUAACCAGGAUAGUGGAAAAACCAUGGUUACUUUUGUCUAAUACAGCUCAUAAUCUAACCAUAGUUGAGUAGUUAACAGUUGACUGUAAAGACCAAAAAGAAAGCACGGUAGACUUGCAUUGCUAACAGUUGACCAUAAAGACUACCAUAUUUAUAAUACAGCUCCUCUACCACGCUGCUUUUGUUGCUAACCUCCAUCUUCAAUUCGAGUGUGAGCUGAAGCUGAAUCGAAUCUAAGCUAAGGAAAGAGAAAUGGCUGCUGCAAUUGUGGGAGAAGCGUUGCUCUCAGCUGUUGUGGAAGCUUUAGUUGGCAAGAUCUCCACUGAGAUUUCGGAGUUCUAUCAGAGCAAGAAACUUGAUGAAUCGCUGCUUGAGAAGCUUAAAUUGACGCUGCUAAGUCUUCAUGCUUUUCUGGAUGAUGCUGAGGAAAAGCAGAUCAAGAUUGCUUCCGUGAAGGCAUGGCUUGAUGAACUCAUUCAAGCUCUCUUUGACGCCGAUGACUUGAUCGACGACAUCGCCACCGAAGCUCUCCGUCGCCAAGUGGAAGCCCGCUAUCAUCCUGUCAGUUCUAAGGUAUGACUUAUACGCUACAAGAAAAGAAAUUCAUUCACCGUAACAAGAGUAAUAUAAUUAUUAGAAAUAAGAGAGAAAUCUGAACAAAGUAUUUUGUGUAUUAUUAAAGUUGAAAAAUAUAACGUACAAAAGGUAUAUAUAGUAUUAUAACUGCUAGUAAAAUCAAAGUAAUAAAAGUAUAGAAUCCCACGAUUAAUAUACAGAUAUGCUAUAUAAAUAUAAAUGAUACUAACCGAUCUAAAUUGAUUUUAAUGAUUCCCUAAUGAUUUUCUAACAUCCCUCCUCAAACUCAAGUGAAAGUUAAGGAUACCAUCUUGAGUUUAGAUAACAAAGUCCGGAAACGAGUCGGGUGAUGAGCUUUCGUGAAGAUAUUAGCAGUCUGAUCUAGUGUUCCAACAGCAAUGAGACGAACAGCAUCAAUAACGAUACGUUGCCGAAUAAAGUGACAACCAAUCUCAAUGUGUUUGGUGCGUUCAUGAAACACAUCAUUAUGGGCAAUUUGAAUAAUACUGCGGUUGUCACAAAAAACAUCAGUAGGAGACGACUGAGGAGGACCCAAAUCUUCGAGAAGCCAACGAAUCGAGAUAACCUCAGCAGUGGUGUCAGCGAGGGCACGGUACUCAGCUUCUGUGCUUGAGCGAGUAGUGAACGUUUGCUUCUUAGCACGCCAAGAAAUGAGAGUGUCGCCAAGAAACAAAUAGUAACCAGUAGUAGUAGAACGACGAUCAGUGGGAUCACCAGACCAAUCAGCAUCGGAGUAUACCUGAAGGGACAAAGAGGAAUGGGCAGAAAAAUAAAGGCCAUGAAAUAGAGUGCCUUUGAUGUAGCAAAGAAUGCGAAAAACUGCCGCAUAGUGAGUAGUAUGAUGAGUUGAUAAGAACUGGCUAAGUACAUAAACUGGAUAGGUGAUGUUUGGUCGGGUGACAGUCAUGUAGACGAGACCUCCAACUAACUGUCGAUAGAGAGUCGGAUUAUCCAAACCAGUGCCAUCCAUAGGGAUUAAUCGAACAUUAGGCUCAAGAGAAGUAGACUUAUUAGUGCGACUAUCUGUAAUCCCAGCGCGAGCAAGAAGAUUUGAAGCAUACUUUGUCUGAGAGAGAUUCGUUUUUUUUUUUCCAGAAACAAUUGGUUUCUAGCUCUUUUAUUUUGUCUCCUCCGGCAGUACUUUGUCCUUAUUUUUUGCCUUUCUCCCGACGCCUUGGUUCGUCAUCGCCGCCACCCUUCUCCUCGUUGCCAGGUUUUCAACGCCUCCAAAAACACCGCCGGACGCGCCACCCAAAGUCACCUGUCCGCGUGAAGAAUUUCUCCCUCCAGACGCCUCUAGUGCCUUUGGAUCAGCACCCCAAAUCCAUGGUUCCUGUCACGCCACGUGUCUGACGGAAGCUCCAUCAGACCCGCGCUCCUGACCUGACCCGCUUCGCAACCCGCGUGGACCCGCCUCCUGUCAGCGCUGACGUGUUUGCUGAUGUGUCUUGGUCCUCCUCUCACGUGUCGCCACGUGUCAUUUCCCUGCUUACGUGGCACACAGUGGGACCCUCCCUAGAAUUUUUUGGUGCACUCUUUUCAAUUUUGCCCUCCGUUUUUUCGUUUCCGGCUCCAAAGUUGCAGUUUUUCUCUCCUUUCCUUGAUCUUUAUAUGUUUUUGCUACCACAGACAAAGGAUAAAUUCUGUCGAAAUUGUAACCGCUUUGGGCACCUCUUCUCCGUCUGUCCCUCUGUUGAAUGUCACACAUGCCACCAGAAAAGUCAUAUUAGCUACCAUUGUUCACAGCUGUUCUGUCAUUAUUGCAAGCUCUAAAGACAUUUGAUUGCUACCUGUCCUACUCGCCCACCACGUCCUGAGCCUGCUUCUGCUGUUGAUGCUACUACUGAAUCUACCACCUCUGCUCCUCUCAACCCAUCUUCUGUCUCUCUAUCUGAUAUUGCGUCUCUUCUUCAGCGUCUUCUCUCCCUUUCUGAUAAUACCCCUGCUGCUUUUUCGACUCCUCCAGGUAAUUUUAAAUGGUAUUUUGACUCGGGAUGCUUUAAUCACAUGUCUCCGUUGCGUAAUCUCUUUUUCUCGUCUCUGUCUACCACUACAAAUGCACCUUCUGUCAAUACUGCUAAUGGUUCCCUCUUGCACGCAACACACAAGGGUUCUAUCUCCCAAUCGACUCUUAAUCUUCCUGAUACUUAUUUUAUUCCCAACUUAAACUUUAAUCUUAUUUCUGUUGGUCAACUUGUUGAUUUGGGAUUUAAUGUCACUUUUUUCACUUCUGGUUGUCGUGUACAGGAUCGUCGGACGGGACAAAUCAUCGGGACUGGACAUAAAGUCGGAAGGUUGUUUGAACUCGAGAAUCUUCAUAUUCCUCCUGUACUAAAUCUCUGUGCUGCUUCUUCUCCAUCUACCCUUCACUUAUGGCAUCAACGUCAUCCUUUUGUGUCUCAGGGUGUAUUGGGUCAGGUUCCUAAUGAGUCUUUUGAUUACAUUUCUUGGCAAACUGCCAAACAACCUGCUUUAUCUUUUCACAAUAAUUCCUCUCUUGCUUGCUCUCCUUUUGAUCUUAUCCACUCUGAUGUUUGGGGUUCCGCUCCCACCGCUUCUAUGGGAGGAGCUCGAUACUUUGUUAUUUUUAUUGAUGAUUAUUCACGCUUUACUUGGGUUUAUUUGAUGACUAAUUGCCAUGAGUUACCUCAGAUCUAUAUUAACUUUGCCACUAUGAUUAAAACUCAGUUUUCCGAUGUCAUUAAAGUUUUUCAACGCGAUAAUGCUAUGGAAUACCGUGAUUCCAAACUUUUAGCCUUUCUUGUAUAACAGGGUACUUUGUCUGAGUUUUCUUGCCCAGGUACUUCUCAACAAAAUGGCCGAGCUGAACGUAAACACUGUUACAUUCUUAACUCUGUUCGUGCAAUGCUUCUUUCUUUUUCGUGUCCUGAGCGUACUUGAGAUGAAGCUGUUGUUACUGCUAUUCAUGUUAUCAAUAGACUUCCUUCUUCUGUUCUUAGUAAUGUUACUCCCUUUGAACGUCUUUAUCAUGCCUCUCCAGAUUACAGUUCCCUUCGAGUUUUUAGUUGUGUCUGUUUUGUUCUUCUUCAGCCUCAUGAGUACAGUAAACUUGAACCUCAUGCUCGCAUGUGUUGUUUUCUUGGUUAUGGCACUGAACACAAGUGUUAUCGUUGUUGGGAUCUUCUCUCUAAACGUAUUCGUAUAUCUCAUCAUGUUGUCUUCUGGGAGCAUCACAUGUUUUCUCGAUUUUUCUCCUUUGAGUCCAUUCUUCCCACUCAGUCACCUUUCUUCACUAACCCCAUUGUUGACCUUUUUCCUAGUGAAGAUUCUAUAAGUUCUAUCUCGGGUCAUCCUCUACAGCCUCCUGCUCUUCCGCCUUCUCCAUCUCCCGAUGAUUUUAAACCGGAUGGCGAUCCCGCUCCUACCGUCAUGCCUCCUCCUCCCACUCGUUCUUCUAGGGUAAGAAAUCCACCUCCUCAUCUUCUUGAUUAUCAUUGCUUUUCUACUAUUCUUCAUCAACAUGAACCUAAGUCAUUCAGAGAAGCCUCCGCAAAUCCAAAGUGGCAACAAGCAAUGCAGGAAGAAAUACAAGCACUUAAAAAAGCACACACUUGGGAUUUGGUUAAUCCUCCUUUUAAUAAGGAAAUUGUGGGCAGUAGAUGGGUAUGCAAGAUCAAGACUCACUUUGAUAUCAUAUUAGAAACAAGAGAGAAAUCUGAAGAAAGUGUUUUGUGCAUUAUUCAAGUUGAGGAAAAGUACAAUAUAAAGAGGUCUAUAUAGCUGCUAGUAGAAUCAAAAUAAUAAAAGUAUAGAAUUCUACAAUUAAUAUACAGAUAUGCUAUAUAAAUAUAUAUGAUACUAACCGAUCUAAAUUGAUUCUAAUGAUUCUCUAACAAUAAUAAAUAAGUUCUGGAAAUUUAUAUUUGGAACUGAUUAAUUUUCGAAAAAAAAUAUAUCAACAAAAUUUUUUAACAACUACUAUAUUAUUAAUUUAUUAUAUUAUAAUUUCCAACUUCUAUCUCUCAACUCUUAAUUCAGUUAUUGAUCUUUUAUUCAUCAUUAGGUGUUCAUCAAGACUUUUUGUUCAAGACUAUUCUUAUUUAGCGCGUGAAUUUUGUUCAAGACUAUUCUUAUUUUUCUAAACCUGCUUAUUGUUAUUGGUUGUAGUUACUUACUGUUACUCUUUAUUUAAUUUGGGUAUUUUAUGAUUUUGUUUUCUGGUUCGAUUGCUAAGCUCCUGAAUAUAGAUAAAAAUGAUAUACAAACUAGAUUCAUUAUGACACUAGAUUUUGAAUUUUUGAUAUAUAGUUUUCUUUAGCGACGUAUAGCGAUCAUAUCAUUAAAAAAAAAAUACAGGUUUUGAUUUUGGUUACUUCUGAAAACUUUUUAACCAUUAAGUUUUUUUCAUAUAUUUAAAUAAGAAAACAAAGAAUUAGGGCUAAUCUUGAAAUUUAAAAAAAAAAAAAAACAGAAUUGAUCCGAUGAUUGUUUAGACAUUGUUAUUCAUCAUAUUAUAUUGGUUUCGUUAUUUGAUAGAUAUGAGUUUUUCCAUUGAGUUUGCUUAUCAAAGAUUUAUAACCACUAAAUGAGUUAUUUAUUAGAAAUUUAAAGAAGAAAACAUAGAGAUUACACAAGUGAAUAUUUGAGCAUUUAUUAUUACGGAAGUUUAUAUCCGCGCCACUCAACUCUUUAGUAUAAGUGUAUAACAUUAAAGGUACAUUUUUUUUAAGUAUAAAUUAAAAUACAAUUAUUUUUUAGGUGAAAACUCAGGUGCAGUUGACUUCACGUGAAGUUGAUACCUGAGAGUCGUUAGAUAAAAAUUCAGUCAAAUCAGUCAAAUCAUCUGACGGCUCUCAAUAUCAACUUCGUGUGAAGUCGACUUCACUUGAGUUUUCCCCUUAUUUUUUACAUGGUGAAUUAUAAGGUAAAAAUGUAAGUUUAUAGAUCUUUCCUUUCAUGUGAUGAAAGAGAGAUUAAAAAUAAUGGGACCUACAUUUUGAAUAUUAAUAAAAUAAUAAAAAAUAACUAUAAAAGGAAUUUAAUUCUUUCUCUAUACAAUCCUAAUCUGUAUAGUAGAGUGCCCCUUUUUACAUACUCUAACUAUAACAAUCACUUUUAAGUUUUAAUACAAAGUAUCGAACAUGUACACAUAAAGCAUCUAAAAAAUGGUGCAUUUAACAUUUCACGUCCUUGAACUAAAUUUUAUGAUAAAAUUAAUGCAGCUAUUCAAUAAUCAUAUUUUUGUGCGAUUUAGGUGCGAAAGGUCCUCUCCUCUCCUUUUAAGUGGCCUUACCGAGAGAUUAAUUCCAAGAUGCAGAAAUUGUUUGAAAGAUUAGAGCACUUUGCACAGAGAGCACACAACCUUCCAUUGGAAAAAGGUGUUUCUAGCAAUGUUUGGCGUGCAACACCUACAAAUUCUGCUUUUGAUGACUCUGCUAUUUGUGGCAGAGAUGACGAAAGAAAGAAUCUUCGAGAGUAUUUGCUGUCAGAAGAUGUUGUUAUUGAUGGUGGCAGUAAAAUAGGAGUGCUUGCCAUUGUUGGCAUGGGAGGGCUCGGGAAAACGACCCUGGCUAAACUCUUAUACAAUGAUGCUCAAGUUAAAGAAAAGUUUGAUGUGAAAGCAUGGGCAUCUGUCUCCAAAGAUUUUGAUGUUGUCAAGUUGGCAAAAUCUCUUCUUGAAUCUGUCACAUCUGUAGCAACAACUUUGGAUAACUUCGAUACCUUGCGAGCAGAAUUGCAAAAGAAGUUGUCGGAUAAAAGAUUUCUGCUUGUGUUGGAUGAUAUAUGGAAUGCAGGAUAUGUUGAUUGGACCAAUCUGAUGCACAUUUUUAAUGUUGGCGAAUUGGGAAGCAAAAUCAUUGUUACAACACGACAUGAAAGAGUUGUGAGUGUUGUAAAUGCUACACAGACCUGCCCUCUAAAACCACUGGUGAUUGAAGAUUGUUGGACUUUAAUUUCAAAACAUGCAUUUGCAACACAUAAAUGCACUGAGCAGUCCAACCUAGAAGAAACUGGAAGAAAAAUUGCCGAAAGGUGUGGUGGCUUGCCAUUAGCUGCAGUUGCAUUGGGUGGUGUUCUUCGCACAAACUUAUCAAAUGAUUACUGGAAUAAAGUGUUAACUAGCAACCUUUGGAAUCUGACAAAAGAGGAUGUGCAACCAGCUCUGCUUUUGAGCUAUAAUUUCCUUCCCGCCUCUUUGAAACAAUGCUUUGCUUAUUGUGCAAUUUUCCCAAAAAACUCGAAGCUGCGAAAAGAGGCGUUAGUUCAGCUAUGGAUGGCACAGGGAUUUGUUUAUGUGUCCCAAAAUGAGAAAAGCAUUGAAGAAGUAGGCGGUGAAUACUUUGAUGAACUAGUGGCAAGGUCAUUGUUACGACGUUCUGCCGAUGGGGAACACUUUGAAAUGCAUGACCUCAUCAACGAUUUGGCAACCAUGGUUUCUUCCCCAUAUUGUAAGAGGCAUGACAAGGAAACGCAACUUGGAAAUCUAAACAAAAUUCGUCAUUUAUCUUAUGAGAAAAGUAUGUCUAACCAUUUUGACGAACUUGAUUCCCUUCAUGGAUUGAAAGGCUUACGUACACUCACAGCAUUACCGUUAGAAUUUGGUUACAUGAUCUUCCGCCAUUACCUAGAGAAUGAGGUAUUGCAUGAGUUGUUGGUAGCAUUGAAACAGUUGCGGGUGUUAUCCCUGUCAUCCUACAACAAUAUCACUGUUUUGCCGAAUUCUAUUGGCCAUAUAAAGCAUUUGCGAUACCUAGAUCUAUCUUGCAGUGGAAUUGAAAGGUUGCCUCCUGCAAUAUGCAAGCUCUACAAUCUACAGACCUUGUUGUUAACUUAUUGUAGGGAUCUUACUGAGUUGCCUGAGGAGAUGGGAAAAUUGGUGAAUCUACGCCACCUUGCUAUUGAUAAUUGUAUAAAUCUUACUGAGUUGCCCAAGGAGAUGGGAAAAUUGGUGAAUCUACGCCACCUUGAUAUUAGUUGGUGUUGUGCUCUUACUGAGUUGCCUAAGGAGAUGGGAAAAUUGGUGAAUCUACGUCGUCUUGAUAUUGAUGGUACCGGAUUGCAGGAGAUGCCCGUAGAAAUAGCCAAACUGGAAAAUCUGCAAAGUUUGAGUCGUUUUAUUGUCAGCAAACAACAACAUGGACUGAAGCUUGCAGAAAUGAGAAAAUUUCCCCAUUUACAAGGUCAACUCCGCAUCUCAAAUCUAGAAAAUGUUUUUGAUCCGUCUGAUGCUUAUCAAGCCAAUUUGAAGGAGAAAAACCAAAUUGAGGAGUUAUCAUUGGAAUGGAGUGAUUCCAUCUUGGAAGACUCCCAACAAGUUGUACUUGAACAUCUGCAGCCCUCAACUAGUCUGAAGAAACUGAGUCUUAAAUGCUACGGUGGAUCUACUUUCCCAAGCUGGUUGGGUGAUUCCUCAUUUGGCAACAUAGUGGGUUUGAGGAUUGAAGAUUGUGAUCAUUGUUCUUCAUUGCCACCUCUUGGACGACUACAUAGUCUAAAAGAACUCUUCAUUUCAGGUAUGAGAUCAGUGAAGAGUAUUGGGUCUGAAUUUUACGGAGGUAAUUCCCCUUCUUUCCAACCGUUUCCCUCCUUGGAGACUUUGAGUUUUGAGUUUAUGUUAGAGUGGGAGGAAUGGAACAUGAUAGAUGGUAUAACUAGUGAGUUCCCCCGUCUAUCACACUUAUCUCUUUCUUUCUGUCCGAAGCUGAAAGGAACUUUACCCAGCAAUCUUCCUUGUUUGGUUACACUUGAAGUAAUGUAUUGUCGUGUACUUGAAUCAGAGUUUUCAGGAGAAGUGGAUAACAGAAACAUAAUGAGACCAUUGAAUCUAUUCAAUUUUAACUCUCUUCAAGAUUUAUCUCUCAAUACAAUUCCUUCCCUGACGUCCUUCCCGAGCAAUGGUCUACCCAAAGCGUUAAAGACACUUUCUAUCAGAGAUUGUGAGAGCCUUGAAUUCCCAACUCAUGAGUUCCUUCAGAGUUGCAAGGCACUUGAGGAUUUGUCCAUAAUGAGUAGCUGUUGCUCGCUGACGUCAUUUCCCUUAGGUUCUCUCCCUGUGCUCAAGCGUCUUCUACUUAGCAAAUGUAAAAAAUUGAAAUCAAUUUCAAUUUUGGAAGAAGAAGCAGCAAGCCAAUCUCUCAUGUUUCUUGAACAUCUCAGAGUAGAUGAGUGUCCUGAACUGGAGUCGAUUUCCCUACUCGAUUUGUGCACUCCUAACCUGCGUUCUUUUUGGGUAAAGAAAUGCGACAAGAUUAAUUCAUUACCAGAACCAAUUAAUAAUCUCAGUGGCCUCCAAACAUUAUGGAUUUGUGAUGUUCCAAAUUUGGAAUCCAUUGCAGAAGAGGGUUUGCCUUUCAAUUUAACGACACUAAUUGUCGGCAAUGAAAAAGGGGUUUAUUGCAAUACAGAUAUCACCAAGUGGGGCUUGGACCGACUCACUUCUCUUUCAUAUUUGAGUAUUCAAGGUGAGUAUCUGGUUAAGAAGCUGAUGGAAAUACAAUUGCCCUUGUUGCCCAAUUCUCUUGAGAUGCUGGAAAUAGAAGGUGCACGUGAAAUACAACAUUUGGAUGGGAAGUGGCUUCAGCCAUCUCACCUCCCUCAAAACUCUUGAGUUGGUAGCAUGUGACAAGCUCAAGUCACUGCCAAAAGAAGGGCUGCCCUCCUCAAUUUCAAGUCUAGAAAUUCGGAGAUGCCCAANNNNNNNNNNNNUGCAAACCCAUGCCUUAAUAUAUUCUUUUUUAUUUUUUCAAUUGUAUUUCUGUUAUUAGAUUUUUAUUUUGUUGAGUUUGUAUAAAUGUGAUUUUAUAUGCAUAAACUAGUUCAGACAUUGAUUUCAAUUUUAAAUUUCAUGAGGAUGAGAAAGGUUUCAGUUUGAUCUGAUUCUUGUUGAACACUUCUGUUGCAACUUGCAAGUGGCCCAACAUUCAAAAUCCAAUCAUUCCAACGAGACUGAGCUGAAUUGCUAGUUUGGUUUGUCUUCAUGGAGAGACUCUUUUAUACUUGUGUAACGCUUUCUUUUCCCAUCAUCAUAAUAAUUAAAAGCUACUUUGACUUAAUCUGUAGACAGCAUAAAUAUAAGAAUUUUCACAUUCAAAUAUGUUUCUAUCAUAUCAACAAAAGUGUUUAAUUCAUAAUAAUUUGUCAAACAACAGAAAAGAAAAACCUCAACAACAUGUAUGUGGUGUGAUAACUAUUUUCAAAGACAUGAAAGCAAAUAUAUUAUCUAUUAUAGUAUAGUAUCAUAAACCAUGUUUAUAACACGAGACCAAAAAAACAAAAACAAAAAGCAUGGUAAAGCUGCUAAAAAGGAACUUAUGUAGAAAAUUAACUUUCAGCAUAGCCGGCCUUUGUAUAUCUAUUAUUUAAUUUAUGUUCCUUUUACUAGAUCAUAUAUAUUACCAGCUAGUAAAGUUUUGUAUAAAUUUGAUUUUGUAUUCAUAUCUCAGUUCAAAACAUUUUAGAAUAAUGUCGUAUAUAUUAAGUCGUAUAUAAAUUUGAUUUUGUAUUCAUAUCUCAGUUGAAAAUAUUUACGGGCAAUAAACUAUGUGAAAAUUCAGAAGGGAGCCUGAGUUCAGCAUUGACAAAUUCCACCGUGAUAAGACCAUAGAAGGUCUUCUAUACACAAAAAAAAAUUGUUUGAUACAAACACCAUUAAUAGUCAUGUGUUGAGUAAUAAAUCAAGGCAUAAUCAGUUGUCAAUUGUUAAAAAAAAUUGAGAGUGUAAAGUGUGAUCUUUAACCCUUCAUUGUUCUCUCUCUCAUAUUGAUUUUUUGUCCCACUUAUCACGUACACUAUUCUGUGCCUUUUAUUCUUAGUAAGAUUGGAUGAGUUUAUUGACAACAAACAAUUCAAGUGUAAAAUAUGGUGUGCCUUAUUAGCUUGGUUUGACACUAUUGGUUGACAUAAUCACAUUGGAGAAUUAUACAUAUCCCAUGCUAAGAUACAAGUAAUUGUCCUAUAGCCAAUAAUUUAUCUGCAUCUAUCUCAUCCCAUCCAUCAACCUUAUUGAUUUGAAAAGCCAGCCAAAGGCCACUUGACAUCUGAUCUACUAUUAAAAUCGCAAAUCAACACACUGCUUUUGGGAAAUAAUAAACAACACAUAGUAACACAUGCACUGAUGCAAUUUUAAAUUUUUAAUUAAUCCACUUUGAAAAAUAAGCACUGAAUGAAAACGGUAGUUUAUUGAUAACCAUAGUCUGUAAUACCGUAGUUAGUGUUUUAAUUAUUUUUUAUGGAAUAGCUGAUUAGUGAUAAACAUAGUUAACAACAAAGAAAGACCAAAAGGAAACAAAGAAGACCAAAGUCCAAAACCAUAGUUUGUUGAUAACCAGAGUGUAAAAACCGUAGUCAUUAGUUAAUAAUUUUUUAAUGCAAUUGCUGGUAGCCAUGGUUGAAACUAAUCAUCAAAAGGAAGCAAUGAAGAAAGAAAGAGAAGCACAGCGUUGACUUUUAAUUUGUUGCAAACCUCUCUGUCUAAGGGAAAAAGAAAUGGCUGCUGCUGUUGCUGUUGUUGUGGGAGAAGCGUUGCUCUCAGCUGCCGUGGAAGCAUUGGUUGGGAAGAUCUCCACUGAGAUAUCGGAGUUCUAUCGGAGCAAGAAUCUCGAUGAAUCGCUGCUGGAGAAGCUGAAAUUGACGCUGCUAAGCCUUCAUGCUUUUCUGAAUGAUGCUGAGGAGAAGCAGAUCAGCAACGCUGCUGUGAAGGCAUGGAUGGAUGAACUCACUCAAGCUCUCUUUGAUGCCGAUGACUUGAUCGAUGAUAUCGCCACCGACGCUCUCCGUCGCAAAGUCGAGGCCAACUAUCGUCACCGUCAAACUGUCACGGCUAAGGUAACAUACAUUAGCUAUGAAUAUGGGACAAAAUAAUACUUCAAAAGUUUUUUCUUGAAUUAGGUAUGAAUUUAUAUGGUGAGGUAUGACUUCUCUGCCAAUUUUGAACCAAGUAGCUUCAAGUAUGAGUAGAAAAAGCUAAGAAUGAGUCUCUGUUAUUUAAAAUUGUUGAUAAAAUUAUUGUAUUUCGUAUGUACGAAUUCAAUAUUUAUAUUUGUGCAACUUAUAUCAGGUGCGGAAGGUGCUUUCCUCUCCUUUCAAGCGGCCUUACCAAGAGAUCAAUUCUCAGAUGCAGAAAUCAUUCGAAAGAUUGGAGCAUUUUGCUCAAAGAGCACACAACCUUCCAUUGGAAAAGGGUGUUUCCCGUAGUGUUUGGCGUGCAACACCUACAAAUUCUGCUGUGGAUGAUUCUGCUAUUUGUGGGAGGGAUGAUGAAAAACAGAACCUUAGAGAGUAUUUACUGUCAGAAGAUGCUGUUGCUGAUGGUGGCAGUAAAAUAGGAGUUCUUGCCAUUGUUGGCAUGGGAGGGCUCGGGAAAACGACCCUCGCUAAACUCUUAUACAAUGAUGCUCAAGUUAGAGAAAAGUUCCAUGUGAAAGCAUGGGUAUCUACCUCGAAAGAUUUUGAUGUUGUCAAGCUGACAAAAUCUCUUCUUGAAUCAGUCACGUCUGCAGCAACAAAUUUGGAUAACUUCGAUACGUUGCGAGCUGAAUUGCAAAAGAACUUAUCUGGUAAAAGAUUCUUGCUUGUAUUGGAUGAUAUAUGGAAUGUAAAGUAUGUUGAUUGGACCAAUCUGAUGCACAUUUUUAAUGUUGGGCAAUUGGGAAGCAAAAUCAUUGUUACAACUCGACAUGAAAGAGUUGUGAGUGUUGUAAAUGCUACACAAACCUGCCCUCUAAAACCACUGGUGAAUGAAGAUUGUUGGACUUUAAUUUCAAAACAUGCAUUUGCAACAGAUAAAUGCACUGAGCAGUCCAACCUAGAAGAAACUGGAAGAAAAAUUGCCGAAAGGUGUGGUGGCUUGCCAUUAGCUGCAGUUGCAUUGGGUGGUGUUCUUCGCACAAAGUUAUCAAAUGAUUACUGGAAUAAAGUGUUAACUAGCAACCUUUGGAAUCUGACAAAAGAGGAUGUGCAACCAGCUCUUCUAUUGAGCUAUCAUUUCCUUCCAGCUUCUUUGAAACAAUGCUUUGCUUAUUGUGCAAUUUUCCCAAAGAACUCGAAGCUGCAAAAAGAGAAGGUAGUUCAGCUAUGGAUGGCACAGGGAUUUGUUUCUGUGUCCCAAAAUGAGAAAAGCAUUGAAGAAGUAGGCGGCGAAUACUUUGAUGAACUUGUGGCAAGGUCAUUGAUACGACGUUCUGCGGAUGGGGAACACUUUGAAAUGCAUGACCUCAUCAACGAUUUGGCAACAAUGGUUUCUUCCACAUAUUGUAAGAGGC